Molecule: long non-coding RNA, 214 nt
Organism: Perca fluviatilis (European perch)
Lineage: Eukaryota; Metazoa; Chordata; Actinopteri; Perciformes; Percidae
Exons: 3
Source: RefSeq, a predicted model, not a curated record
CUUAAAAAACACCACCAGCGCAUUCACACUGCCUCGUAGUGAACAUGUUUCAGAGCCAAGCUGUUUCCUCCUGCCCCCUCCUCAUGCCCUGAUAGCUGUGUUAUAUUCUGAUCCUCUCUCCACAUUGAAGGCUGACAAGCAGUAACUUUAUCUUCUGAACAGCAUGUAUGUUAUCGUGGAUCAGCUGGACGUUUUUUUGCCUUUCCUCAGAACA